RNAcentral lists this ribosomal RNA (253 nucleotides) under uncultured bacterium. RNAcentral's name for it is "partial 16S ribosomal RNA". It matches the Rfam family "Bacterial small subunit ribosomal RNA", at positions 524 to 776 of the family's 1533-position model. The record is from RNAcentral. RNAcentral also lists the same sequence under 1 other name.
UACAGAGGGUGCGAGCGUUAAUCGGAAUUACUGGGCGUAAAGCGUGCGUAGACGGUUAUUUAAGUCGGGUGUGAAAGCCCCGGGCUCAACCUGGGAAUUGCAUUCGAGACUGAAUAGCUAGGGUACGGUAGAGGGAAGUGGAAUUUCCGGUGUAGCGGUGAAAUGCGUAGAUAUCGGAAGGAACAUCAGUGGCGAAAGCGACUUCCUGGACCAGUACCGACGUUCAGGCACGAAAGCGUGGGGAGCAAACAGG